RNAcentral lists this transfer RNA (71 nucleotides) under Krasilnikovia cinnamomea. It matches the Rfam family "tRNA". From Rfam's summary of the family: Transfer RNA (tRNA) molecules are approximately 80 nucleotides in length. Their secondary structure includes four short double-helical elements and three loops (D, anti-codon, and T loops). Further hydrogen bonds mediate the characteristic L-shaped molecular structure. tRNAs have two regions of fundamental functional importance: the anti-codon, which is responsible for specific mRNA codon recognition, and the 3' end, to which the tRNAs corresponding amino acid is attached (by aminoacyl-tRNA synthetases). tRNAs cope with the degeneracy of the genetic code in two manners: having more than one tRNA (with a specific anti-codon) for a particular amino acid; and 'wobble' base-pairing, i.e. permitting non-standard base-pairing at the 3rd anti-codon position. The record is from Rfam by way of RNAcentral. Lineage: Bacteria; Bacillati; Actinomycetota; Actinomycetes; Micromonosporales; Micromonosporaceae. RNAcentral also lists the same sequence under 1 other name.
GCGGGCGUAGCUCAAUGGUAGAGUCUCAGUCUUCCAAACUGAUUACGCGGGUUCGAUUCCCGUCGCCCGCU